This 1005-nucleotide ribosomal RNA is filed under the name uncultured bacterium. RNAcentral's name for it is "bacterial SSU rRNA". It matches the Rfam family "Bacterial small subunit ribosomal RNA", at positions 9 to 1043 of the family's 1533-position model. The record is from RNAcentral.
GAGUUUGAUCCUGGCUCAGAAUCAACGCUGGCGGCGCGCCUAACACAUGCAAGUCGAACGAGAAAGCGGGGGCAACCUCGUGAGUAAAGUGGCGUACGGGUGAGUAACACGUGGAUCAUCUACCUCUUUGUGGGGGAUAACCCUGGGAAACCGGGGCUAAUACCGCAUAAGUCCGAGAGGAGAAAGCAGCAAUGCGCAGAGAGAGGAGUCCGCGGCCGAUUAGCUAGUUGGUAGGGUAAGAGCCUACCAAGGCAACGAUCGGUAGCCGGCCUGAGAGGGCACACGGCCACACUGGCACUGAAACACGGGCCAGACUCCUACGGGAGGCAGCAGUGGGGAAUCUUGCACAAUGGGGGAAACCCUGAUGCAGCGACGCCGCGUGAGCGAUGAAGCCCUUCGGGGUGUAAAGCUCUUUCGGCAGGGAAGAUGAUGACGGUACCUGCAGAAGCAGCUGCGGCUAACUACGUGCCAGCAGCCGCGGUAAUACGUAGGCAGCAAGCGUUGUUCGGAGUUACUGGGCGUAAAGGGUGUGUAGGCGGUUCUCUAAGUUUGGUGUGAAAUCUCCCGGCUCAACUGGGAGGGUGCGCCGAAAACUGGGGGGCUAGAGUGCGGGAUGGGAAAGUGGAAUUCCUGGUGUAGCGGUGAAAUGCGUAGAUAUCAGGAGGAACACCUGUGGUGUAGACGGCUUUCUGGACCGCAACUGACGCUGAGACACGAAAGCGUGGGUAGCAAACAGGAUUAGAUACCCUGGUAGUCCACGCCCUAAACGAUGCAUAUUUGGUGUGGGUCAUUCAUUUGAUCCGUGCCGGAGCUAACGCGUUAAAUAUGCCGCCUGGGGAGUACGGUCGCAAGGCUGAAACUCAAAGGAAUUGACGGGGGCCCGCACAAGCGGUGGAGCAUGUGGUUCAAUUCGACGCAACGCGAAGAACCUUACCUGGGCUCGAACGGCUCACGAACGUCUGUGGAAACACGGAUUUCCCGCAAGGGACGGGAGUCGAGGUGCUG